This 8215-nucleotide long non-coding RNA is filed under the name Zea mays. RNAcentral's name for it is "long non-coding RNA (ZMAY_LNC001620)". The record is from RNAcentral. Lineage: Eukaryota; Viridiplantae; Streptophyta; Magnoliopsida; Poales; Poaceae.
AGAAGGCUCCUGGAUGACAUCAACCGGAACCCGUAGUCGUGCUUGCGACUAUCGCGUCGAAUUAGUCAGGGUAAGUUGGUUCGUAUUCCCAUUAACUAGGUCUAUAAAUAGAUUAAAUAGAAUUGUUGGUCACAAUAAAUAUUAUUAAUUUAGUAUGCGUAUAUUGUGAUGAUUGAUUUAGAUAGCUCGCUAAAUCAAGUAAUUAAGUUACACAGUUUAGAGAGUUAAUAAAAAGCUAAGAAUAAAAAUAGAUUUUCUAGUGUAAUAUGUCAAUUUGAUUAAUGGAUAUAGUCGAUGUCCUGCUGUGAUAUCCAUGGUGCUUAAUGCUUGGUUUUAAGUGUUUCAUGCUUUUUAGCGUAGAUUAUCUAUAUUAUACUCGUUAUAUAUGUGCUCAUACAUGUGCAUCAUGCAUCUCAUGAGGUACGAUAAAUAAUCGCGUGAUGCGGAAGAAGAACCAAGCCGACCCCAAGCGUGGGCUAAUCUGCAAGCUGAAGCUGAUGAAUCAACCUGAAGACGGUUAAAUCAAGCAAGUGCUCGGUCGAAGGAUACUCGUCAAGCGGACGUCACCUAACAACACUAACCUAGUGUUACUCAGGCAAGCCCCGGUGCAUGCAACCCCUUUCCUUGUGUUUUUAAAAUAAUUUUUGCACACCUUAAGUCUAGUGAAAUGUGCAUUAGGUUUAUAGGAGUUGCUUGAAACCCUUUGAUGCAUUGCUUCCUUGAUAUCCAUACCUUUAUAGAUACUUCUGUGAAGUAUCAAAAUAUGAUUUACAAAAAUGCUUAGCCCUGCUUAGAUCUUGUGGAUAGAGGUUGUCCUUAGCUUAGCUCGAGAAAGGAUGGCUUCUACCUGCAAGAAUAUUUUCAUUUGGAGCAAUGGUGGGAUCUUACUGCAAAGCUCCCUGUGAUGCUCUUUUCAUCCUUGGGAACAGAAACAAUCCUAAGGAUGGAAGUAUGUAAAUCGAGACUUGGGUUAGGAACAGGUGAUGUUCUACCCAGGUUGAUUAAGGAUUAAUGCGUAUGUAGGCUUGAUGAUCGAGGACCCUUUAACUGGUCACAUGCCUCAUCAUGGUUAAGCCUUGCCUCGGGCAGACUAAGGCCAGAAUAAGAUAACACGAAAUGGGCGUGGAGCGGUGGCGAGAGUAGCGUGUACCCUCCGUGGCAAGAGGCUGGACGGUGGUGUAUCUGUGCUCUCGGUUUGCGUGAACCUGAUCUGGUCUUAAGAACCCCGGUGGCGGGUUGACAUAUGCAAGGGUUAAGUGCUACAUAUGUCGUGUGAUUGGAGAUCCUCAGCUGAGUAUAAUCGAUUCGGAUCGCCGUACCUUCGCGGUUAUGAAGACUUGGUCACUGCCCUGCAACCUAAAGUCAGGAUGUGAACACUAUGGAUAAAAAUGAUGUUGUGUUGAUGAGAUGUUGAAAUUAGACUAGAUGCAAAUAGAGUCUAUUAAUACUUAAUAUGGCGUUAAAAGAUUGAAAGUAAGGACUCACUUUAGUAAGCUACUUCUGCAAAAGUAUAAGUUGAUUUUUGCUAAAGCCUCUCCUUGACUCCUAUUUAUCCAGCAUACCCUUGAGAGUCUUUUCCUUAGUCGGGUAAGACUUGCUGAGUAAUUCCAUACUCAGGGUUUUAUUCCCUGUUGUUUUUCAGGUUUUAGUUUUGUGCUGCUGAUGAUGGUGUUAAGUGCCGGUGGGCUCGGCCUUCUUAUAUGUCUAAGUAACCCUUCUAUACUUCUUAUUGAGGAUGAUCCCUUAAGCUAGCAUAUAUUUCAAACUUAUACUUUUGUAAUCACUCCGAUAAACUAAUGUAAAAAUUUUGUAACCUGUAAAAUUUGGUAGUAAGAUUUCCGCUGCAACAAUAUUGGUGUGUGUGAUUUGUGUUACUUAAUCCCGCGGUUCUGGUUGUAAGUGGUUUAUCCGAUGUCCUUGGGGCAAUCGGACGGAUCCUCUUAAGUUAUUUAGUGCACAUGCAUAGCUGUCUGAGGUCUUUGAGACAAGGACAGGUGCAUGUGGGCCCAAUAACUUGGGAGGUUCUGCCACAGCUGGUAUCGGAGCAGGAUUAAGUAUAUACGGUCACAUACGUAUUUUCAAAACAAAAGUUUUGGUUUCGAAAAACCUAUUUUCAACUAAACACAUUGUUUGGCUUUGAAAAAUAGUUUAAAAAAAACUAUAAUGCUAGCGACAUCCUCUAUUAAGCCCUAAGUUAAGGACUAUCAGGUGGCUUAUUUGAAAACCACUAACCCACAACCGGGUGGGUAUUGCAUACAUGUGUAUUGUUAUUUUUAAGGCCAUUCAGUUUUGAAUGGAUCGACGCCCAAGGUAAGGUGAGUUGUGAGAGCAUGACCGAACAACCGUCGGUCUAGGGAAGUGCUUAAUUGUGGUGCUUGACUAUAUACAUGUUCUACAUAUGUAUAUACGAAAGCUGCGAUGUGGAGUAAUUACUUUUCUGGGAAUUCAGUACCCCAUGGAUGUGUAUGGGUAUACAGAUAUGGGAAUACUGAGAAGUGUAAUGUACUUGUAACAACGCACCUACACUCAGGUAAGAAGGUGAGUUACCAUAAUGAGUUGCCCUAUGGUUAAAGUGUGGCAACGGCGCCUAUGCAUGGCUCGGCGCUUAACGAUGAGCUAGCCUCCAUAUAGAAAUAUAUGGAGUAUAAACUGUGAUAAACUGUCAUGUGUGAAUUGCAUCAUUGGGAAAUUGGGCUGUGAUGGAUUUUUCUGCAGGUACACUAACCUCGAAAACGUAUGUGUAGUUGACGACUAGCAAAAUAUCGUGAGUGUCGCAAGUAUGCCACCGAUAUAGAACGCUAUCGCCACAUUAUGUUGGCAAAAUUAGUAAGGACGAAUAAGACGAGCAUGCAUCCUGAUUGUUGCAUCAUGUUUGUCACCUAUACAUCCAAAAUGCUUCUCUCAUCUUUAUUCCAGUAACCAUUGAUUGUAGAUAAUGUGGUGUAAUGCUGUAGUAUGGACUUCAAUGAAAUAGUUGUCCUCCGUUCUUUAGAUAAUAUGUUUAGGUGUAUAUGUGUUUGCCCUUGUGCUUGAUGUGCCGGUAGAAUAUUGGUGAACUGUUUGUCUAAACCCAAAAUUCAAGUUUUCCGUUAUCACUCCAUGACCAAACACAUAAAAAUAAAUGGCUAGAUAAUUUCUUUGUUGGACCUAAAGUGUACCCGGACUUGAAGCAAGAAUCUCGAGUCAUGUCCCCAUCCUAAACUAUAUCCUUACUCAGUUGGUGCAAGCUGAUGUACCUUACUCAGUUCGUCUGUUCUUAAGGAUCGCCAUGUUGCUUUAUCAACCUAACCUAGGAAAGGCAUGUCCGAUUAUUUUCUUUAGUUUGAUGUCUUUGGUUUCCUCAUAUCUAUCAAAGGCAUACCAACUUAAUCUUAUGAUUAUUUUCCCUCCGUAUCUAAUCAGAUACUAAUCCGUGACCUUGAAAUUGCUGCGAUGGGCAUAGAGAUAUGCUUGGGGCUGAAGUUACAGUCUCCCAUCGUACUCCCUCACCACCUAGUUUAGGUUAUGGUCAUGCCUUGUUCAUUUUAUCGGGCCAUGAUCUAUUUGGCUCUCUACUUGUAACCAUUCAUACAGGUGGAGUAUCUCUUUGUAUAUUAUCACCCUUGCCCAGUCUAUUUGUGUUGUGCGAGAUUUCUUAUUGGUUAUGUCUGGUAAUGGUGUUAUGACUAAAACUGGUGGUGCCGUGAUGAAACCGAGGGCCUUCUGUGUGUGCGCACACAUGGUCGUGCUGCUCGGCACGCGCGAGUAUCACUGUUAGUAGUUAUAAUCCAUUAUGAGAUUAUAUCAAUGUGUUAUCUUGGCACAAUCUGUUUUUACCACGUGAGAUUCAUUAUUGGUGUUGUUCGGUAAUGGUGUCACGAUUAAUGACUUAUGGUGCCGCAGCGAAACUGAGAGCCUCCUGUGAAUGCGCACACAGGAUUGUGCUACUCGUCGGAUGCUGGUAUCAAGGUCUCUGGUCAUGAUCCAUUAUGGAACUACCCUAAUAUGUUAUCCUCCAUAAACUACUCCCUUGAAACAAUUUCUAUGUUGUUUGUCAAGUGAUCAAGCAACAUCUAUCAUCUUUGUUGGAUCAAAAGGGCAUACCACUUUCGUGUGUGGUCUCUUUCCUUUUGAUCUUGGUAUUGACUACUCAUACAAGUUCCAUUUACGUCCUUUGUGUAAAGGUGAAGCCUUGGAGCUUUUUAGUGUCGAGAGACAACUGAUUAGCUCUCAAAAUGGAGAUCUGUUUUCCCUGCUGCUGAGAUGCAGGAGUUUGUUCAUUCCCUCUCUUAUUUAAUCCAUGUAUUCCCUAACCAAGUCAGUUCAUCUCGCAUGAAGAAACGGGUGAACAACCUGACCAAAUGGACUUCUAUUCAAAUACAUGAUCUCUUGUUAACCAGAGUGAACUCUCAACCCUUGGCUUACCGAUGGUACUGAGAGGACAUGCCCAAUGUCAAAAGUGGUUCAACAAGUUGGUUUUGACUAACUUGUAACUGCCCAGUGAACAAAGGUUGAGUUUAGAGAUCGUUUUGUCGAGUUGUCUAAACUCACUCUGGUUUAACCCACCCUGAAGAAAGCAGAUAUAAGGAUCGAGAUUAAGUUGACUAGUAACCCCCUAAUUAUCGCUCUAGUUAUGCCUCGAUCGCCUCACGUGUGUUUUCCCAGCAUAUGUGAUCAAGUCGAGCCAUGCCUAGUGCUUGAUAAAAUGGACUGGUCGUAAAGUCCAUAUCUACUGAUCCCUCCGCUGGUGAUUUUCUCGAAUCUAUAUCACCUUUCAGGGACUUGGAUUUUCUGGUUGGCCACGGGUCAACUGUGAUGUUAUUUGACAUUCACACCCGUCUCGUGUGCUAUAAACUUACCGUGACCACUUGUUGGUAAACCUCUUUCUGGGUGUUUUACCCAAGAGGUUGCAUCUGGUUCUGUUUGGGUAAAGUCGCAUAUUCACCGCUCACUCAACAGACUCAGAUAGUAUAGUGUCAUCAGAAAAAGCAAACUGCACACAUGUAACCUUAUGUGUUUCUCUAGCAGCCAUCGUCUCUAUUGGUGGACAUUUCUAAAUUAGCCUAAGGCGAUACAUGUUAUGUCCACUAGAGAAACCACAUCCUGAGACACUCGCCUUUAAUUGGAAACGUCUCACGAUUAUCGCUGAUAUGAACAUGGGUUACAUACUUCUCUACCCUUAGAAGUCUUUCGCUCCGAAUCUCGGGACGAGAUUCUUUUAAGGGGGGAGGGCUGUAACACCCCAGGUGUUUAUAUUCCGCUCGACAACGAGUACGGAUUUAAACACGUGAUAUCAGUGAAUAAGACGGACACUAAGGUCUAAUUAUCUUCUCCUAGCGCAAUUUUAAUAUCGUAUUUGAUCGGCUGUCGCGCGUGCGACGUCGUUUUUAUUUCUAUCUGUUCGGGCUCGUCCUAAAUUUUCGUGAUGUUCGGAACAUUGUGGUUCCGAAAAUCGGUGCGUCCGGUGAUUAUUUAAAACUCAUCGCUCACGUGAAUACGAAUUCGGAAGCCCGACACACUCGGAUGAUUGUAUUCCGAACAAAUUAAUUUGAACCCGACGAUUAAAAUGUUCGAGACGAAAUAAUCUGUAUCGCGCGUCGUCCGAGUGAAAUCGUGCGCGCGAAUAAGAUUCAAUUUAUCCGUCCGCACGCUGUUUUGACGACGAAAUCGCGUAGACAUUAGCGGCUUUGGUUUCGGCUAAUUUCGGUCGAAUCACGCAGAGCAAAAUUAACAAAGCCGAAAUAUGUUUAAUUCGGUCCGUUUCUUUUUGCCUUGAUUUAAAAAGGUGAAUUAACGGUACGCAUUCAUCCGACUCCCGAGUAUUCGUCAAAUCAAAACCGUGUCACAAUUACUGUUUACAUCGUAAACAUCGCUAAAUAUCGGGAUCCAAAAUAUCUUCGAUUUCUGUUAAUAAAAAGAGAGAAAUAAAAAAAGGAAAUAUCCCUUCAUCUCAAUCUCCAGUCGUCUCCUUCCUAUCCCCAUCCCGCCGCCCUCCCCGGAUUUUUUUCUUCACCGCCGCUCAAGCACCUGGAUGAGGAUCGAUGCUGUCGCCAGGAUUUUUUUUCCUCGCCGUGCUCUUCUGCUGAAAUCGGUGCCCAGCCACUCCUCUACAGCCGUUGCCAUCUCCCUCCUGUAGCUCGUCUUCUACGCGCCAGAUCUUCGUCCAGCCGCCUUGGCUCUGCUCGAUUUUUCCAUCGCCGAGUGCAUCCCUAUCUUCUCCACAGCGCCCAGCCGUACUCCGAUUUUUUCUGCCGCCGUUCAAGUCUGAUUUUUUUGUUCUCACCGCCUACGGCCGUUGGCCUCAUCUCCUCGCCGUGUGCUUAUCUUCUCCCUCCCCUCCGAUGUCUCCCUCCCCAACGACGCGACUUCAAGUGCCCAGCGUCGUGCUCCCCCAGCCUCUGCUCCUCUCUCUCCCUACGCCCUGUCGAAGCCCUUCUAUGGCGCGCGUGGAUUUCUCCUCCUCCAUCCCCAGCCAGCCAGCGAGCUCCUCCCUCCUCCCUGCAUCCAUGGAGCUCGGCGCCCAUCUCCAUGGCUCGCCCUGCGUCCAGCCGCCGUGCCCGGUUCCGAGGCUUCUUCUCUGCGCGUUUCAUCUCCAGCUCGGCGACCACAACCUCUCCCGCCCCAUCCCCGACAAUCUUGGUCGACCCGGCGCUCGUGCAGGAGGUUUUCGUGGACAACAUCCUUAACGUCAACCUCGGCCAAGCUCCGGCAGGGCAGGCAGCCCUUGGCGCCGGCUUGCCCAACUCCGUGCCAUGUACCACCGUCAACAAAGUUUUCUCCUCGGGUAUGAAGGCUGUCAUGUUGCGGCUCAAAGUAUUCAGCUGGGAAUCAACGAUGUCGUGGUCGCUGGUGGCAUGGAAAGCAUGUCGAAUACCCCAAAAUAUGGGUGCUGAAUUGUGUUCAGACCAGCACUCAAUCUCACGGGAGGUGCAGAAUUCGUAUGCUAUCCUCAGCAAUGAACGUGGCAUAGCAGCUCAGGAUAGCGGUGCAUUUUCUUGGAGAGAUUAGUUGGAUAUUGGAGGUUUGUUUAUGGUUCAUGGCCAUGGAUGCUGAUGAGCCGUCUCGAGUCCUGCCGAAGACAACGCCUGUCCUCGUCACCAACCCUGCUCGCCCAGAUCCAUAACUCCCUAGUUCAAGUCGGCUGAUUCGUGUGCUGGGGAGCCGUUCUCAGUUGCUCGCCAUGGUCGGCUGCUGCUCCCUAAUCGCCUCAGCCACAACCUCACUGUCGUUCUUCAGCUCGCUGCGCGCUAAGCUCCCUUGUCGUAGUUUUCUCGUGCGCAGCGUUUCGUGGUCCCUCGUCGUGCCGAGUUAUCCUCUACACGCAGUCGUUUCCUAUUUUCUGCUCGCCAGUGUGCCCUCUCGGCUCGCUUGGCCUUAAUUCUCAUCGCGUCAUCGAUUCCGCUGGUCAGCGUCGUUCGUCAUCGUGUCGCGUGUGUAGCUCUAUAUACGUCACCCUCUUGUGUCGUCGUCGUUCCGUGCGUCAUCAAGAAAUUCCAAGAAUCGAGUGAAGACGAAGCCAGCAGCGUGAUAUUCACCAAGUGCGCGACCAAAAAGCUCAGACAUCCUGCGCGACUCAAGUUCAAUUCGUCGAAAUUAUUCAAUCGAAGAAAAUAUCUUCAGCAAUUAGUUACCGAAGAAAAGAAGGCUCCUGGAUGACAUCAACCGGAACCCGUAGUCGUGCUUGCGACUAUCGCGUCGAAUUAGUCAGGGUAAGUUGGUUCGUAUUCCCAUUAACUAGGUCUAUAAAUAGAUUAAAUAGAAUUGUUGGUCACAAUAAAUAUUAUUAAUUUAGUAUGCGUAUAUUGUGAUGAUUGAUUUAGAUAGCUCGCUAAAUCAAGUAAUUAAGUUACACAGUUUAGAGAGUUAAUAAAAAGCUAAGAAUAAAAAUAGAUUUUCUAGUGUAAUAUGUCAAUUUGAUUAAUGGAUAUAGUCGAUGUCCUGCUGUGAUAUCCAUGGUGCUUAAUGCUUGGUUUUAAGUGUUUCAUGCUUUUUAGCGUAGAUUAUCUAUAUUAUACUCGUUAUAUAUGUGCUCAUACAUGUGCAUCAUGCAUCUCAUGAGGUACGAUAAAUAAUCGCGUGAUGCGGAAGAAGAACCAAGCCGACCCCAAGCGUGGGCUAAUCUGCAAGCUGAAGCUGAUGAAUCAACCUGAAGACGGUUAAAUCAAGCAAGUGCUCGGUCGAAGGAUACUCGUCAAGCGGACGUCACCUAACAACACUAACCUAGUGUUACUCAGGC